GACACAUUUCAUCCAAAUCCCAAGUCAUCAGCUGUGCUUGUCCUCCAAUAGGGCCGACAGGGGCCCUAUGACGUCAGCGGGUCCGCUCCAUUUCAGUGCGCCGGUGCACCGCUUAACUCGUAACGGCGAGGGCCAGGAAAACCGUUUAAACGGAGUGUAAUCUGUCGGCCAGCGGCAGCAACCACGUGGCUGUCAGCUGACAAAACAAGUGACAAUGUCGGCCUACAGGGCAAAAGCCAUGGCCAUGUGCCAUGUGUUCUUCAUUGUUGACUAAAUACAACUGCGGAAUGAAUUUGCCGACUGACUCUGCGGGAUCGUCUGCUGACGUUUCACCGUACUGCACCACCUGUGGCCGGGGGUUUGGUCAGACGUGAGACUCCUCUGCACUACCACCUGCAGACGUCAUUGUCAGUGAACAAAGACUGUGUCCGUUUUUCUGGUAAUAAGAAGCGAAGACCUCUGUUGUUUGUGGCAGCGCCGCCAGCAGCAGCAGUGCAAGUUAAAGCGAGCUCCCAUUGCUCCAUCUCAUGCUCACAUUCGACAUCACUCUGAUCCAGUGGUGGAAUAAGUACAUUUCCUCAAGUACUGUACUUUUUGAGUAACUUGUACUUUACUUGAGUAUUUCCAUUUUAUGCAACUUUAUACUUCUUUUUCACUACAUCUCUCAAGGUAAAUAUUGUACUUCUCACUUCUCUAAAUUUGGUGCUU
Siniperca chuatsi (mandarin fish) is the source of this 708-nucleotide long non-coding RNA. RefSeq lists it as uncharacterized. The record is from RefSeq and is a predicted model, not a curated record. The transcript has 3 exons. NCBI's taxonomy places the organism in Eukaryota, Metazoa, Chordata, Actinopteri, Centrarchiformes, Sinipercidae.